AGCGGAACGAGUUAUCUGAACCUUCGGGGAACGAUAACGGCGUCGAGCGGCGGACGGGUGAGUAAUGCCUAGGAAAUUGCCCUGAUGUGGGGGAUAACCAUUGGAAACGAUGGCUAAUACCGCAUGAUGCCUACGGGCCAAAGAGGGGGACCUUCGGGCCUCUCGCGUCAGGAUAUGCCUAGGUGGGAUUAGCUAGUUGGUGAGGUAAGGGCUCACCAAGGCGACGAUCCCUAGCUGGUCUGAGAGGAUGAUCAGCCACACUGGAACUGAGACACGGUCCAGACUCCUACGGGAGGCAGCAGUGGGGAAUAUUGCACAAUGGGCGCAAGCCUGAUGCAGCCAUGCCGCGUGUGUGAAGAAGGCCUUCGGGUUGUAAAGCACUUUCAGUCGUGAGGAAGGUGGUGUAGUUAAUAGCUGCAUUAUUUGACGUUAGCGACAGAAGAAGCA
This 447-nucleotide ribosomal RNA is filed under the name Vibrio neocaledonicus. Its description in RNAcentral is "bacterial SSU rRNA". It matches the Rfam family "Bacterial small subunit ribosomal RNA", at positions 65 to 492 of the family's 1533-position model. The record is from RNAcentral. Lineage: Bacteria; Pseudomonadati; Pseudomonadota; Gammaproteobacteria; Vibrionales; Vibrionaceae.